AAGCUUUUUGUGACGGUACCUGGAGAAGAAGCACCGGCUAACUACGUGCCAGCAGCCGCGGUAAUACGUAGGGCGCAAGCGUUGUCCGGAAUUAUUGGGCGUAAAGAGCUCGUAGGCGGUUUGUCGCGUCUGCUGUGAAAGCCCGGGGCUCAACCCCGGGUCUGCAGUGGGUACGGGCAGACUAGAGUGCAGUAGGGGAGACUGGAAUUCCUGGUGUAGCGGUGGAAUGCGCAGAUAUCAGGAGGAACACCGAUGGCGAAGGCAGGUCUCUGGGCAGUAACUGACGCUGAGGAGCGAAAGCAUGGGGAGCGAACAGGAUUAGAUACCCUGGUAGUCCACGCCGUA
RNAcentral lists this ribosomal RNA (345 nucleotides) under Thalassiosira minuscula. Its description in RNAcentral is "partial Bacterial small subunit ribosomal RNA". It matches the Rfam family "Bacterial small subunit ribosomal RNA", at positions 460 to 804 of the family's 1533-position model. The record is from RNAcentral. Lineage: Eukaryota; Bacillariophyta; Thalassiosirophyceae; Thalassiosirales; Thalassiosiraceae.